UUCGCACGCUGGGAAUCGAACCCGGGCCUCCAGGGUAAGAGGCAAGUAUCCUAGCCACUAGAUCACGUGGGA
RNAcentral lists this transfer RNA (72 nucleotides) under Cordylochernes scorpioides. RNAcentral describes it as "tRNA-Lys". The record is from RNAcentral. Lineage: Eukaryota; Metazoa; Arthropoda; Arachnida; Pseudoscorpiones; Chernetidae.